Molecule: long non-coding RNA, 1151 nt
Organism: Carassius gibelio (silver crucian carp)
Lineage: Eukaryota; Metazoa; Chordata; Actinopteri; Cypriniformes; Cyprinidae
Exons: 7
Source: RefSeq, a predicted model, not a curated record
UCCGGAUUUGUUCUACAUGUAACCAAAGUGAAAAUGACACAAAUGUAGUGCUGAAACGCUGAUCAAAGCGCUUUGGUGACGUCACGCCGCUCCCGUCAAGCGCGACCGUGACCGUGAAGCUUCUUCACUUCUUCAGAUUCACACACCCUCACGCGCUCAGAAGUCACUCAGGCAGCGCUGCUGUGCUCUGCUACGGCUCCUCAAACCACUGUCGGACUCUAAGAAACCUCUCUGAAAUCUUCCGUCUCCUUUUACGAGGUCACUGGAUGAUUUAUCUCAAAGUGAAGGCAGAAGAGAUGUUGAGUGGCUGGUGGAAGGUGACAGACAUCGAGGAGUUACGCUCCCUAGAGAAAGCGUGGCAUUCCCGAGGGAUCUGAGAGAAACCGCUGCAGAAACACAUGGGUUACAUGGGGCAGGUCUGCAGCAGGAACAGAAAGUUUUCAGAUGGCGAGACAAUCAAGUUUGGAUGGGCCUCUGGUGGGCUGGAUAACAGACUGAGGAUAUGGAUUAUUUCCCAGCAUGCAACAGCAGUCUUCUGCUGUCCUCUGAUGUGUGCAGUUCUCAUUUGAUGGACAGCUGCUCAUCUCUGGUUUGUCCAGCAGGUGGAUCUGUGGUGUCAGGUUCUGAUCUCAGUGUAUGAUACAGCAUUACAUAAAAAAUAAAUCCAUAACCUGCUGGAUCUGAACAGAUUUAAAGAACAACAGUCUGUCUGGGCUCAGAUGCUAGUUAUAUGACACGGAAGGAAGUCCCUGGGUCACUCCAGAACACUGCUCAGCGAUUGGUCAGAGGAGGAUGUGAGCGAGUGGCUCCGUGAUGAAGGAUUUGAAGCUCUGAUGGACACGUUAUCAUCUUAAACACAGAGACACUGAACACUGAAGCAAACACUGAACAGCUUAGAAACCAUGUAGCAUUCAAAUGAUACUUUCACUCCUGAAGAAGAGCGUCAUGGACACCUAAAUAUGAUUAUCUUUGAGCAAGGGACCCCCAUUCUAAAAUGUAAAAUGUAAAUAUUUAUGUAUUAAAAAAUAAAUAAUAUAAUGAAUAUUCGUAUUAUUUAGAAAAUAUGUAAGUUCUGCCACAUAUUAAUUUUUUUAAUCUAUUCUCUAUAGUACUGCACUGUUAAGAUGUAUUAUGUAGAUGUCAAUUUUAUU